GAGCCCGGGCCGGCCGCGGCGGAAAAUCCGGGCCCGAAAGAUUUUAUAUUAUUUAUUUUAUAGGAUCGGUGCUAUGCCCUCACAUCGAACCCCAAUUCUGUCCCACAUGGAUUCCCAGGACAGUGUAUUACAUCCAAAAUGAUAAACCCAGAUGGCUUUGGAUGUGACACUUCAUGGAAAUAAGAUGCAAAAAGUAUUCCAGGGCAUGAAAUCUUCCCAUAUUUUCAGUGAAGUCUCUUUUGUCAAGAAAAGCUGAUUUUUCAGUCCUGGGAUGCAGAGUGUGUUGUCUGGGGUUUUAUCCUCAUGCUGAGUUUGGACUGCCUGGCCAAAGGACAGAGGUUUUGUCUUCUCUCCCAUUUGAUGAAGUGCAGUGAUCUUGUGUCCCUCAGAACAGAGAGCUCUUGUGCUGAUCUCUACAUUGAACACAAAGAAGGAUUGGCCAGAUGGAUGCAGGAGAGUAAUAAAUGCAUUGCUGCAGUGGAGUGUAAAGCAGAGUGGAAUAAACAGCUCUGCCUACACAUUGUUCACGUUUAAAAUUCAGUUGUUUGCUGAGUGGGCUGCUCGGGGCCGGCUCUUUUCUUGUAGUUUGCUGCAAGAAAUUAAAAUAAUUCACAUGGCAUAAACAUUUCUUUUACCUUUUCUGCCCAUACAGAUGAGAGCAGCGAUCAGAGGGAGGUGUGAGUGGAAGGGCAAUUAUCCCACUGCAGGAGGUGGGAGUCAGCUCAAUGCCAGGAGCUCAUGGAGGCAGGAAUCUGGAAUUAUGCAAUGAUGGAAUUCUGUGCAGUUUAGAUCAGCCAAAGCUGCCUAAAACUUUCCAGCCCAGAGGUUCACCUUGCACUGGCUGCUCUGAGGUGUUUCCUUCUCGAGAAGAUAAGGUGGCAGCCAGGCUGAGGGAGAUCAGGGUCUGGAAGGAUCUGGAAAAUAAAGUGAGAGAUUUCAUGCUCUGGGUUGUAAAUCGGGGGGAAACAGGGCUGGGAGAAACAUUACCUUUUCUUUAAAAUUCUAAUCAACAUGCACAGAGAAUAACACAGAAUAACUGAGAAUAACCCAGAUCCCCACAGCUCCCACUAAAUGCUUUGAUUAUUUAUCAUUGCCCGUUUUUUAUGGGAAGAGUUGACAUUAGAUUAUUAGUGACCUGAGUGGUAUUUGAUUUUUUUUCCCCUUGGAGGUUAAAGACUUUGUAGUUUCCUGUUCUAGGUCCUUUUUAAAAUUCAUUUUAGAGCAUGAAAAAUAUAUUGUUCAGUCAAGUUUAUUUCUCUGACAUUUAUUCAGAGCAAAGUGUGAUCCUAAUAUUAAAGGUUUUUGAUGUGAAGCCCGGGAUACAGACAAGGCUUUUCAGUGGUCUUCCCUAAAACAGGGACAUUUCAUCAGUGCCUGGGAAGUUAAUAUGUUGGAACAGCAUAAUUAUUUGAAGGAGUGUUUGUUUUUCAAGGAUUUGUGGAUGAUAUUAGAUGGCUCAGCCCAGUUGUGUCACAAGGUAUUAAGGUUUCUGCCUGCUAAAGUCAUGGAGCUGGGCCUAUAUAGAGCCAUAAAUAAAAUUGUGUGAGAGCCAGUGACAGACUCUGACUGCAGCUCAACUCUUUAUCACAUGUUAUAUUCAAUUUAAACACAAUUGUUGAAUUCCUUGCUGUGGGCAAAGGCUUUUUUGAUUUCUCCUUCUAUUGAAGUUGUAAUACCCCUCUUAGCCCGUGAAACUCGCUCUUGCCAGGUGUGUUUCUCAAUUAAUCAGCCUCUCAU
This is a long non-coding RNA of Parus major (Great Tit), 1737 nucleotides long. RefSeq lists it as uncharacterized. Lineage: Eukaryota; Metazoa; Chordata; Aves; Passeriformes; Paridae. The record is from RefSeq and is a predicted model, not a curated record. The transcript has 3 exons.